GAUGAACGCUAGCUACAGGCUUAACACAUGCAAGUCGAGGGGCAGCACUGGGAUUGCUUGCAAUCCCUGGUGGCGACCGGCGAAUGGGUGAGUAACGCGUAUCCAACCUGCCCCGUGCCCGGGAAUAGCCCUUGGAAACGAGGAUUAACGCCCGAUGGCGUGCCGGUACCGCAUGGCGCCGGCACUAAAUGUGAAGGCAUGGGAUGGGGAUGCGUUCCAUUAGGUUGUUGGCGGGGUAACGGCCCACCAAGCCCGCGAUGGAUAGGGGUUCUGAGAGGAAGGUCCCCCACAUUGGAACUGAGACACGGUCCAAACUCC
This 318-nucleotide ribosomal RNA is filed under the name uncultured Bacteroidales bacterium. RNAcentral describes it as "bacterial SSU rRNA". It matches the Rfam family "Bacterial small subunit ribosomal RNA", at positions 28 to 339 of the family's 1533-position model. Lineage: Bacteria; Pseudomonadati; Bacteroidota; Bacteroidia; Bacteroidales. The record is from RNAcentral.